CAGCAGCCGCGGGAAUACGAAGGGGGCUAGCGUUGUUCGGAAUUACUGGGCGUAAAGCGCACGUAGGCGGACAUUUAAGUCAGGGGUGAAAUCCCGGGGCUCAACCCCGGAACUGCCUUUGAUACUGGGUGUCUAGAGUAUGGAAGAGGUGAGUGGAAUUCCGAGUGUAGAGGUGAAAUUCGUAGAUAUUCGGAGGAACACCAGUGGCGAAGGCGGCUCACUGGUCCAUUACUGACGCUGAGGUGCGAAAGCGUGGGGAGCAAACAGGAUUAGAUACCCGUGUAGUCCCUGUCUCUUAUAC
RNAcentral lists this ribosomal RNA (301 nucleotides) under uncultured bacterium. RNAcentral's name for it is "partial 16S ribosomal RNA". It matches the Rfam family "Bacterial small subunit ribosomal RNA", at positions 509 to 807 of the family's 1533-position model. The record is from RNAcentral.